RNAcentral lists this ribosomal RNA (301 nucleotides) under uncultured bacterium. Its description in RNAcentral is "partial 16S ribosomal RNA". It matches the Rfam family "Bacterial small subunit ribosomal RNA", at positions 509 to 807 of the family's 1533-position model. The record is from RNAcentral.
CAGCCGCCGCGGGAAUACGAACCGUGCGAACGUUAUUCGGAAUCACUGGGCUUAAAGCGCGUGUAGGCGGAUGGGAGCGUCGGCCUCUGAAAUCCCCCGGCUCAACCGGGGAAGUGGAGCCGAAACGACCCGUCUGGAGGGACGUAGGGGGACCUGGAACUUCCGGUGGAGCGGUGAAAUGCGUUGAGAUCGGAAGGAACGCCCGUGGCGAAAGCGAGGUCCUGGACGUCUGCUGACGCUGAGACGUGAAAGCCAGGGGAGCGAACGGGAUUAGAGACCCCGGUAGUCCCUGUCUCUUAUA